CUCACCCCUUUUUUCAUGUUUGGGGGGUGUCUGUUUCCCUUCUCUACACCGAGUUGACCGAAAACGGGCUCUCCCUUCUGUGGCCUCUGCUCUGCCCCAGGAGGACAGCCUGGAGGAGGAGAGAAUGGCUUCUGCCCUGACAGCCAGGCCUGGGAAGUUCUCCCUUCUGUGGCCUCUGCUCUGCCGCAGGAGG
RNAcentral lists this long non-coding RNA (193 nucleotides) under Phascolarctos cinereus (koala). Its description in RNAcentral is "lncRNA (ENSPCIG00000030617.1)". Lineage: Eukaryota; Metazoa; Chordata; Mammalia; Diprotodontia; Phascolarctidae. The record is from RNAcentral.